UCCGCAGGCGGUCACACAAGUGAAAGGUGAAAUCUUUCGGCUCAACCGAAAAACUGCCUUUCAAACUGUGCGACUUGAGGAUGGAAGAGGAGAGUGGAACUGUCGGUGUAAAGGUGAAAUUUGUGGAUAUCGAUAGGAACGCCCGUGGGGAAGCCGGCUCUCUGGUCCAAUCCUGACGCUCAGGGACGAAAGCUAGGGGAGCGAACA
RNAcentral lists this ribosomal RNA (207 nucleotides) under uncultured bacterium. RNAcentral describes it as "partial 16S ribosomal RNA". It matches the Rfam family "Bacterial small subunit ribosomal RNA", at positions 568 to 774 of the family's 1533-position model. The record is from RNAcentral.